RNAcentral lists this long non-coding RNA (2501 nucleotides) under Mus musculus (house mouse). Its description in RNAcentral is "long non-coding RNA chr14:20566548-20569049". Lineage: Eukaryota; Metazoa; Chordata; Mammalia; Rodentia; Muridae. The record is from RNAcentral.
UUGAGGUGGUCUACAGUUUCUACUUCAAUAAAUCUACCAUAGCAUUGAACUUCAUUUGUUGUUACAUGGACUGGCCUUUCUUUAGCAAUGAAAAGUUUUUACCUUGAUCAUGCCUCACUCACCAAAAGUAUCCAUCUCUAAAAGGAUGAUGAUCCACUUCUCAUAUAACAACAUAGAGUAUUCCCCCCAACUCCCAAAGUGCACAUGGGUCAAAGGAGAUACAAAAGAGGAGUCCAGGAACAGUGACAGAUGAAUGGACUAAGAUGUACAGUAAAGACACUUUGUGAAGGACCAUCAGAGAGCCUCACCUUCUAGUCAUCUCUAACAUAAGCUGGUAGGAAGUUAUAAAGUUACUUCACUUACAAAUGGAAUUGACAUUGAGCUUUCACAUGGUCACAGGGGCUGCAAGAUUGAAAUGUCAAGCCAGGUAUGACGGCACAUGCCUGUUAUCCCCAUUACUCUGGAGGUGGAAGGAGGAGGAUCCCUGAGCUAUACAGCAAGGUAGAAGCCAGAUACUUCAUGGCUACAUAAUGAGAUUGUAUCUCAAAAUCUCAAAACAACAGAAAAGAAAUAAAAUGACUGGGAUAAAAAGUCUAAGGUUUGGGGGUUUUUUGUUUGUUUGUUUUUGUUUUUGGAUUUUAGAGACAGGGUUUCUCUGUGUAGCCCUGGCUGUCCUGGAACUCACUCUGUAGACCAGUCUGGCCUCGAACUCAGAAAUCCGCCUGCCUCUGCCUCCCAGGUGCUGGGAUUAAAGGCGUGCGCCACCACUGCCUGAGUUAUUUUUCUUCAUCACAACACCCUUGCUUUAUCCUCAUUCACCUACAGACGUCAAUGGUAAGAAAGGCUCUGUCAGAACCAUAACAAAUUCAAUUUCUACAGCAGUUAGCUUUUAGAAAGCAAAGACAGUGGAAAGUAGGUUGGUUCUGAAAACCUUGGUAGUCAAUUUCUAUCCCAUCUCUACAUCUCUGAUUUCCCCCAGCCCUGAACCCAAAGUUCUUUCAUUAUGAUUGUAAUCAACUGAGUCUAAACAUCUAGAAUUAGAGGUGGUAGCUUGAAAGAAAAGAAGGGCUAGGCAUGGAGGUAUACACAUAUAAUCCCAGCACUUCUGAGGCCCAGGCAUGUAAAAGUUCUCAACUUUACAAAGAUCUAGGCAAAUUAUAGUUACUGAGUAGUAUAGCAUAUUUAAAUCUUAAUCAUCUAGAAUCUCUGCACUCCAGGCUGUACUCUCUUUGAUGAGGCUAUACCAGAGCUUAUCAAAAACUGAUAAUGAAACACAAUGAUCAGGAUUCCUGUUCAACUCUAAUGCAUGGUGUCACUAAGAGAGAAAGGAAAGGACAAGGUCAAAGAUGACAAGAUCCCUCUUUCAGUAGAAAUAUAAACUUUAAACUAAGGAAUAGUGGCGCAUGCCUGUCAUCUCACCAUACAUGUGAGGACAACCUGAUCUACAAAGCGAGCUCUGGGUCAGCCAAGGCUCAAGAGUGAUGAAAUCUGGUCUCCAAAAAAAAAAGGGGGGGAGGAGGUAAAAUGGAUGAGGAGGAAGCUGGAGUGAUGAAGCAUUUGUCUUGCAAGCAUGAGGGCCUGAGUUUCAUUCCCAAGUACACUGAAUAAAGGCAGGUAGGCGUGUCCACUUGUACCCAGCACUGGGGUAGCAGGGAUACAUGUGCCCUGACGUUCCCUAGCCAACCAGACUGGCCACUCACUUAGAAUAAAGAACAUGUCCCAGGAAAUGAAGAAAAAAAGGUAUACAACAUCUAAGGAUGCCCUCUGGUUUCCACAUGCACUCAAACAUACAUGUGCACCUGUACACAUACAAACAUACAAACACGGAACAAUAUAAAACUGGAACAUCAAACUAUUAAGACUUGAGUUCAAAAUGAAAAAUCGAUUACUGAAUAUAGAAACAGCUAAGAGGAAUUGAAAUUUUAAAGCCCUUUUCUUUUUGGUUUUGUCUGUUUGCUUGGUUGAUUGGUUUGGUUUUGAGACAGGGUUUCUCUUCGCUGGCUCCCCUGGAACUAGUCCUGUAAACCAGACUAGCCUUGAACUCAGAGAUCUUGCUCUGCCUUACCUUCUACGUGCUGGAACUAAAGGUCUGUGCCACCACACCAAGCUUUAAAAUUCAUUUUGAAACAAGCACAACAAAUAACGUGAGAAAUAGAAGGCAAAAAUUGUCCUGAAUCAAAAGAAAGUAGGGGGCAGGUGACUGGCUCAGCCAUAGAGACCCUGGCAAGUGUGAGGUCAGGGCAGUGGGGUGAGGGUGGGGGCUGGGGUGGCUCAGGAGACCCUGGCAAGUGUGAGGUCAGGGCAGUGGGGUGAGGGUGGGGGCUGGGGUGGCUCAGGAGACCUGGUAAGUAUGAGGUCAGGGCAGUGGGGUGAGGGUAGGGGCUGGGGUGGCUCAGGAGACUCUGGCAAGUGUGAGGUCAGGGCAGAGGGGUGAGGGUUUGGGGUGGCUCAGCUAUAGAGACCCUGGCAAGUGUGAGGCCCUGAGUUCCAUCUCCAAUAUC